GAUUGGCUGCUCCCUCAUAACCAUAAGAUAAUUAAAACGAAGGGGGGGCGGGUUAAAAAAACUUUUUUAUCAGCCAGAGGUUAAUGCAAGUGUUUAACAGAUGCUUCACUAUUAAAAUAUUUAUCCCCCCCUCCCCGUCUCAAAUAUUGAAGAAUCUCAAACCAGGUACACCUGCCGCGCAGACCUCGGGCAGAUUCGAAGUGUGGGCACCUGGGUUCCCCGAAUCUGUGGUGUGGGCGGUAUCGGUGUGCCCCCCGGUUUAACUAGCCUGUUUGGCAAAACAAAUGAAGCACAAGUGCUCAUAGAACAUUCCAAAGAGUCAACAGAGAGAAAUGGAAACUAUUAGAAACACGAUUGUGUUUGGAAAGGGAACAUAAA
Molecule: long non-coding RNA, 378 nt
Organism: Ochotona curzoniae (black-lipped pika)
Lineage: Eukaryota; Metazoa; Chordata; Mammalia; Lagomorpha; Ochotonidae
Exons: 3
Source: RefSeq, a predicted model, not a curated record